RNAcentral lists this ribosomal RNA (467 nucleotides) under uncultured bacterium. RNAcentral's name for it is "partial 16S ribosomal RNA". It matches the Rfam family "Bacterial small subunit ribosomal RNA", at positions 28 to 507 of the family's 1533-position model. The record is from RNAcentral.
GAUGAACGCUGGCGGCGCGCCUAACACAUGCAAGUCGAACGAUUAAAGCACCUUCGGGUGUGUAUAAAGUGGCGAACGGCUGAGUAACACGUGGGCAACCUGCCCCUCUCAUUGGGAUAGCCACGGGAAACCGUGGAUAAUACCGAAUACUUCGGGACUUCCGCAUGGAAGACUCGAGAAAGCUCCGGCGGAGAGGGAUGGGCCCGCGGCCUGUUAGCUUGUUGGUGGGGUAAUGGCCUACCAAGGCAAUGAUGGGUAGCUGGGUUGAGAGACCGACCAGCCAGAUUGGGACUGAGACACGGCCCAGACUCCUACGGGAGGCAGCAGUGGGGAAUCUUGCACAAUGGGCGAAAGCCUGAUGCAGCGACGCCGCGUGCGGGAUGAAGGCCUUCGGGUUGUAAACCGCUUUCAGCAGGGACGAGGCGAAAGUGACGGUACCUGCAGAAGAAGCCCCGGCUAACCACGUG